CCUACGGGCGGCAGCAGUGGGGAAUAUUGGACAAUGGGCGAAAGCCUGAUCCAGCCAUGCCGCGUGUGUGAAGAAGGCCUUCGGGUUGUAAAGCACUUUCAGUGGGGAAGAAAGCCUUGGGGCUAAUACCCUCGAGGAAGGACAUCACCCACAGAAGAAGCACCGGCUAACUCCGUGCCAGCAGCCGCGGUAAUACGGAGGGUGCGAGCGUUAGUCGGAAUUACUGGGCGUAAAGCGCGCGUAGGCGGUCUGAUAAGCCGGUUGUGAAAGCCCCGGGCUCAACCUGGGAACGGCAUCCGGAACUGUCAGGCUAGAGUGCAGGAGAGGAAGGUAGAAUUCCCGGUGUAGCGGUGAAAUGCGUAGAGAUCGGGAGGAAUACCAGUGGCGAAGGCGGCCUUCUGGACUGACACUGACGCUGAGGUGCGAAAGCGUGGGUAGCAAACAGGAUUAGAUACCCCAGUAGUC
RNAcentral lists this ribosomal RNA (465 nucleotides) under Vreelandella stevensii. RNAcentral describes it as "partial 16S ribosomal RNA". It matches the Rfam family "Bacterial small subunit ribosomal RNA", at positions 338 to 795 of the family's 1533-position model. Lineage: Bacteria; Pseudomonadati; Pseudomonadota; Gammaproteobacteria; Oceanospirillales; Halomonadaceae. The record is from RNAcentral.